GAUGAACGCUGGCGGCGUGCCUAAUACAUGCAAGUCGAGCGAACAGACGAGGAGCUUGCUCCUCUGACGUUAGCGGCGGACGGGUGAGUAACACGUGGAUAACCUACCUAUAAGACUGGGAUAACUUCGGGAAACCGGAGCUAAUACCGGAUAAUAUAUUGAACCGCAUGGUUCAAUAGUGAAAGACGGUUUUGCUGUCACUUAUAGAUGGAUCCGCGCCGCAUUAGCUAGUUGGUAAGGUAACGGCUUACCAAGGCAACGAUGCGUAGCCGACCUGAGAGGGUGAUCGGCCACACUGGAACUGAGACACGGUCCAGACUCCUACGGGAGGCAGCAGUAGGGAAUCUUCCGCAAUGGGCGAAAGCCUGACGGAGCAACGCCGCGUGAGUGAUGAAGGUCUUCGGAUCGUAAAACUCUGUUAUUAGGGAAGGACAAAUGUGUAAGUAACUAUGCACGUCUUGACGGUACCUAAUCAGAAAGCCACGGCUAACCACGUG
This 497-nucleotide ribosomal RNA is filed under the name uncultured bacterium. RNAcentral's name for it is "partial 16S ribosomal RNA". It matches the Rfam family "Bacterial small subunit ribosomal RNA", at positions 28 to 507 of the family's 1533-position model. The record is from RNAcentral.